CUCAGCCUGGCUCUGGGGCAGACCUAGAGGCUCAUUCUGUAGGCACCAGCCUUGAGUUUGAGGCUGUGGGGCCUGCCCGGUUCUGAGUUUUAUGGAGGUGGGCCCAGUACUCAAGGCAAAGUUCAGUGAUACUUUCCUAUCUUUCCCUCAAGAAGAUGGUAUCUCUGUGCUGUGCUGCCUUUGGUUGGGCAAGAUGUGAAGCAGUUCCUGGGACUCAGAGAAAAUAAAUGACUGCCCAAAGUCUUCUAAUAACAAGAGACAGGUUCUCACCAUGUUUCCAAGGCUGGUCUCAAACUCCUGAGCUCAAGGGAUCUGCUGGCCUCGGCCUCCGAAAGUGCUGGGAUUACAGACAUUUCCUAUGUUGUGAGCUACAGUUACUUCUGAG
This 385-nucleotide long non-coding RNA is filed under the name Homo sapiens (human). RNAcentral describes it as "HSALNT0122788". The record is from RNAcentral. Lineage: Eukaryota; Metazoa; Chordata; Mammalia; Primates; Hominidae.